UUAAGUUAAUAAGGGCGCACGGUGGAUGCCUUGGCACUAGGAGCCGAAGAAGGACGUGACAAACGACGAUAUGCCUUGGGUAGCUGUAAGUAAGCGAUGAUCCAGGGAUUUCCGAAUGGGGGAACCCAACAGGUACUACCUGUUACCCACAUCUGUUAAGGAUGUGAGGAGGAAGACGCAGUGAACUGAAACAUCUAAGUAGCUGCAGGAAGAGAAAGCAAAAGCGAUUGCCUUAGUAGCGGCGAGCGAAACGGCAGAAGGGCAAACCGAAGAGUUUACUCUUCGGGGUUGUAGGACUGCAAUGUGGACUCAAAGAUUAUAGAAGAAUGAUUUGGGAAGAUCAGCCAAAGAGAGUAAUAGCCUCGUAUUUAAAAUAGUCUUUGUACCUAGCAGUAUCCUGAGUACGGCGGGACACGAGAAAUCCCGUCGGAAUCUGGGAGGACCAUCUCCCAACCCUAAAUACUCCCUAGUGACCGAUAGUGAACCAGUACCGUGAGGGAAAGGUGAAAAGCACCCCGGGAGGGGAGUGAAAUAGAACCUGAAACCGUGUGCCUACAACAAGUUCGAGCCCGUUAAUGGGUGAGAGCGUGCCUUUUGUAGAAUGAACCGGCGAGUUACGUUAUGAUGCGAGGUUAAGUUGAAGAGACGGAGCCGUAGGGAAACCGAGUCUGAAUAGGGCGCCUUAGUAUCAUGACGUAGACCCGAAACCAUGUGACCUACCCAUGAGCAGGUUGAAGGUGCGGUAAGACGCACUGGAGGACCGAACCAGGGCACGUUGAAAAGUGCUUGGAUGACUUGUGGGUAGCGGAGAAAUUCCAAACGAACUUGGAGAUAGCUGGUUCUCUCCGAAAUAGCUUUAGGGCUAGCGUCGACAUAAAGAUUCUUGGAGGUAGAGCACUGUUUGGGUGAGGGGUCCAUCCCGGAUUACCAAUCUCAGAUAAACUCCGAAUGCCAAUGAAUUAUGGUCGGCAGUCAGACUGCGAGUGCUAAGAUCCGUAGUCGAAAGGGAAACAGCCCAGACCACCAGCUAAGGUCCCAAAAUAAUUGUUAAGUGGAAAAGGAUGUGGGGUUGCACAGACAACUAGGAUGUUAGCUUAGAAGCAGCUAUUCAUUCAAAGAGUGCGUAAUAGCUCACUAGUCGAGUGACCCUGCGCCGAAAAUGUACCGGGGCUAAAACAAUUUACCGAAGCUGUGGAUACCUUUAUAGGUAUGGUAGGAGAGCGUUCUAUGUGUGAAGAAGGUGUACCGUGAGGAGUGCUGGAACGCAUAGAAGUGAGAAUGCCGGUAUGAGUAGCGAAAGACAGGUGAGAAUCCUGUCCACCGUAAGACUAAGGUUUCCAGGGGAAGGCUCGUCCGCCCUGGGUUAGUCGGGACCUAAGGAGAGACCGAAAGGUGUAUCCGAUGGACAACAGGUUGAUAUUCCUGUACUAGAGUAUGUAGUGAUGGAGGGACGCAGUAGGCUAACUAAAGCAGACGAUUGGAAGUGUCUGUCUAAGCAGUGAGGUGUGAAUUGAGUUAAAUGCUUAGUUCUAUAACAUUGAGCUGUGAUGGGGAGCGAAGUUUAGUAGCGAAGUUAGUGACGUCACACUGCCAAGAAAAGCUUCUAGCGUUUAAACAUACUCUACCCGUACCGCAAACCGACACAGGUAGUCGAGGCGAGUAGCCUCAGGUGAGCGAGAGAACUCUCGUUAAGGAACUCGGCAAAAUGACCCCGUAACUUCGGGAGAAGGGGUGCUGACUUUAAGUCAGCCGCAGUGAAUAGGCCCAAGCAACUGUUUAUCAAAAACACAGCUCUCUGCUAAAUCGUAAGAUGAUGUAUAGGGGGUGACGCCUGCCCGGUGCUGGAAGGUUAAGAGGAGUGCUUAGCGGUAACGCGAAGGUAUGAAUUGAAGCCCCAGUAAACGGCGGCCGUAACUAUAACGGUCCUAAGGUAGCGAAAUUCCUUGUCGGGUAAGUUCCGACCCGCACGAAAGGCGUAAUGAUUUGGGCACUGUCUCAACGAGAGACUCGGUGAAAUUUUAGUACCUGUGAAGAUGCAGGUUACCCGCGACAGGACGGAAAGACCCCAUGGAGCUUUACUGCAGUUUGAUAUUGAGUGUCUGUACCACAUGUACAGGAUAGGUAGGAGUCUAUGAGAUCGGGACGCCAGUUUCGAAGGAGACGUUGUUGGGAUACUACCCUUGUGUUAUGGCCACUCUAACCCAGAUAGGUGAUCCCUAUCGGAGACAGUGUCUGACGGGCAGUUUGACUGGGGCGGUCGCCUCCUAAAAGGUAACGGAGGCGCCCAAAGGUUCCCUCAGAAUGGUUGGAAAUCAUUCGCAGAGU
This 2325-nucleotide ribosomal RNA is filed under the name Streptococcus pneumoniae. Its description in RNAcentral is "23S ribosomal RNA". It matches the Rfam family "Bacterial large subunit ribosomal RNA", at positions 3 to 2350 of the family's 2925-position model. Lineage: Bacteria; Bacillati; Bacillota; Bacilli; Lactobacillales; Streptococcaceae. The record is from RNAcentral.